UUUUUAAUUGAAGGCUAGAAUGAAUGGUUGGACAAGAAAUAACCUGUCUCAAAUUUAAUAUAUUGAAUUUAACUUUUAAGUGAAAAGGCUUAAAUAAUCUGAAGGGACGAUAAGACCCUAUAAAACUUUAUAUUUAAAAGGAGUAAGCAAAUUUUAUUUAGAAGUUAUUGCUUGAAAAUAUUUUGUUGGGGCGACAAGAAUAGGGAGGUAAAUAACUGUUUUUUUUUUUUGACAAUAAUGUUUGGAUUAGUGAUCCUGAAAGGAUAAUAAGAUUAAGUUACUUUAGGGAUAACAGCGUAAUUUUCUUUAAGAGUUCUAAUCGACAAGAGAGUUUGCGACCUCGAUGUUGAAUUAAAGGUUCUUUAUGGAGAAGCAGC
Molecule: ribosomal RNA, 377 nt
Filed under: Cambarus asperimanus
Lineage: Eukaryota; Metazoa; Arthropoda; Malacostraca; Decapoda; Cambaridae
Description: partial 16S ribosomal RNA
Rfam family: Archaeal large subunit ribosomal RNA
Source: RNAcentral